Molecule: non-coding RNA, 63 nt
Filed under: Metallosphaera yellowstonensis MK1
Lineage: Archaea; Thermoproteati; Thermoproteota; Thermoprotei; Sulfolobales; Sulfolobaceae
Description: Sulfolobus sRNA133
Rfam family: Sulfolobus sRNA133
About the family: This RNA has structural homologues in 3 archaeon Sulfolobus genomes: tokodaii, acidocalarius and solfotaricus.
Source: Rfam by way of RNAcentral
AAGGUAUCCAAUGAAACUCCCCGUGUCCUCGAAGGGAGUUACUCCCGUAGACUGCACGUGGAG